This 1851-nucleotide long non-coding RNA is filed under the name Homo sapiens (human). Its description in RNAcentral is "HSALNT0351478". Lineage: Eukaryota; Metazoa; Chordata; Mammalia; Primates; Hominidae. The record is from RNAcentral.
GAAGAUUCCUUUCUCCUUAAAUUGCUUUCUUCACUUGACUUUUUGACACCACAUUUCUUCUGAUUUUCUUUUUUCUUUGUCAUCUUCACUAUAUUAAUCUUUUUAAUGGUUUUAUCCUCAUCUUCUUGAUCUCUUAAUGUUGGACUUUGUCAGUUGCUUUGACCUUUUUUCUAUCUAUGCUGUCUUGGGAUUCUUAUUUGGCUUUGUGCUUUAAAUACCAUCUGAUGACUGACAGCAUUUUCUUUCUAGUGUGGACCUCACCCCUGGAUUAUAGACAACUUUACUGUGAUACCUGAAAAAUGUCUAAACUUAACAGGUGCAAGCUAGAGCUCUUGAUUUUCUUCUGUCACACAGAUCAGGUCCUGGUACAAUUGUUCCCACCUCAGUUAGUGGUAAUUUCACUUUUAAUUGCUCAGGACAAAAUAUCCCGCAUUCCCCCAAGGGUUUUGUUAGUUUUUGUAUAUUGUCUCUGUUUCUUGUUUCAAAACUUACAACAGAAAAUUCUGUUGUCCCUAUCAUUAAAAUAUAUCUGAAUUUUCCCAUUUUUCAGUACCUUUUCUAUAAUCGUCCUGGUUCUAUCUGCAAACACCCUGCUGUAGAUUUUUACAAUAGUUUCCUGACUGAUCUUUCUGUUUUCAUCUUAUCCCUCUGAAGUCUGUUCUCAGCAAAGCAUUCUGAGUAGAUCUGCCAAAGCAUGCAUCAGCAGAAGUCAUUUCUCUGCUUAAAAACUCUCCAGUGAAUUCAGAUUUUACUUGGAAUAAAAGCCAAUGUCUUUAAAAUGGCCUAAAAACCCUACAUGAUUUGUCUUCCCACCUUUUAUUAUAUUUCUCACUUCCUCUCCUACUACUUCCUAUCCUUCCCACUUUUCAUCAGCCAUACAGAUCUUCACAAAUGUUAGGUAGACUCCCACCUCUGCAAUCUCGCAUUUGUUUAUACCCUCCUUCCUAUGAUGCUAUACCCCAAUCUAUCUACAGAGUGAAUUUCCUCACCUCCUUCAAGUCUUUGCUUAACUGCCAUCUUCUUGAGAGUUCUUCUCUGAGCCCUCUAUUUAACUUAUAUCCCAAUCCCCAACUAGGCCUCCUGGUUCUCCUCUGCAGCUUUAUUUCCUCAGUAACACCUUGAAUCUUACUCUAUAGAUUUAUCAACUUUUACAUGGUCUUUCCCACAGAAACUUCAUGAAGGCAGAGAUUUUUGACUAUUUUAUUUACUGAUAUAACCUCUAUACCUAUAAAAGUGCCUGAGAUUUGCAUUUCUUCAAGCAAAAAGAGUGUUGCAAGAGAGACUUGGUGGCUUGGUAGGAAAAGCUGCAUGUAAGCUAAUGGCUCAAAUGCAGUAUUCCUGACCUCAACUGAGGAUGCUGCAUUCUUUGCCCUGUUUCUUCUCUCAAGUGAUGCCAGCCCUUAGAAGAAAGAACCCAACAUGACAUAAGAGUCUUCUAAGCUGAGAGUAGCAAAUGGCUGUGGAAAUAACCCCACUUGAUUCCUCAUGAUCCUUUGUGCUGUCUACUGCAGGCUGUCACCUCAAUUUCUAUUUCUUCCAUAACUGAGGUAAAGAAGAGUUAAGAAUUUUUGUGUGUAGCUAUUGACAGUCACUUCACAGAUUAAAGGAUGUCCUUAAUAUAAAGUAAAGCUAAAUAUCAGAGACGACAAAAGGUCCAUUUAUUGAAGUUGAAGGUAUGCUCUAGUAACAAGUGGUAGAAAGUACAGCAAGCUGAAACUCAAUAGAUGACUUCUGAUAGUGAUACCACCAUUGGAGUUGGGUAAUCUUCAAUAAACUGGAGUGCUUUUUUUGUCCUCCAGAAUCCUUGCCGUAUAUGGAGAUGGACAAGAGAUAAUUUCUGAGGUAGUUGUA